GAAAGGAUGUGAGAUUUCUAAGACAACUAGGAUGUUGGCUUAGAAGCAGCCAUUCAUUAAAAGAGUGCGUAAUAGCUCACUAGUCGAGAGAUCUUGCGCCGAAAAUGUAACGGGGCUAAACUUACCACCGAAGCUACGGGCUUGAACUUAUGUUCAAGCGGUAGGAGAGCGUCGUAACCGGGCUGAAGUCGUACCGUAAGGAGCGGUGGACUGGUUACGAGUGAGAAUGUUGGCAUCAGUAGCGAGAUGUGGGUGAGAAUCCCACAGGCCGAAAACCUAAGGUUUCCUCAGGAAGGUUCG
Molecule: ribosomal RNA, 300 nt
Filed under: Enterococcus faecium
Lineage: Bacteria; Bacillati; Bacillota; Bacilli; Lactobacillales; Enterococcaceae
Description: partial 23S ribosomal RNA
Rfam family: Bacterial large subunit ribosomal RNA
Source: RNAcentral